This is a non-coding RNA of Thaumarchaeota archaeon RBG_16_49_8, 85 nucleotides long. The record is from Rfam. Lineage: Archaea; Thermoproteati; Nitrososphaerota.
CAGUCGUCUAGUGGUUAGGACAACAGCAGCGCGCGGUCAAGCCCUUACACGGCGUAGGUCCCAGGUUCGAAUCCUGGCUGGCCCA